Molecule: ribosomal RNA, 303 nt
Filed under: uncultured bacterium
Lineage: Bacteria
Description: bacterial SSU rRNA
Rfam family: Bacterial small subunit ribosomal RNA
Source: RNAcentral
UGAGGAAUAUUGGUCAAUGGGCGAGAGCCUGAACCAGCCAAGUCGCGUGAAGGAUGAAGGAUCUAUGGUUUGUAAACUUCUUUUAUAUGGGAAUAAAGUGAGGAACGUGUUCCUUUUUGUAUGUACCAUAUGAAUAAGCAUCGGCUAACUCCGUGCCAGCAGCCGCGGUAAUACGGAGGAUGCGAGCGUUAUCCGGAUUUAUUGGGUUUAAAGGGUGCGUAGGUGGUUAAUUAAGUCAGCGGUGAAAGUUUGUGGCUCAACCAUAAAAUUGCCGUUGAAACUGGUUGACUUGAGUAUAUUUGA